AGAGUUUGAUCAUGGCUCAGAUUGAACGCUGGCGGCAGGCCUAACACAUGCAAGUCGAACGGUAACAGGAAGCAGCUUGCUGCUUCGCUGACGAGUGGCGGACGGGUGAGUAAUGUCUGGGAAACUGCCUGAUGGAGGGGGAUAACUACUGGAAACGGUGGCUAAUACCGCAUAACGUCGCAAGACCAAAGAGGGGGACCUUCGGGCCUCUUGCCAUCAGAUGUGCCCAGAUGGGAUUAGCUUGUUGGUGAGGUAACGGCUCACCAAGGCGACGAUCCCUAGCUGGUCUGAGAGGAUGACCAGCCACACUGGAACUGAGACACGGUCCAGACUCCUACGGGAGGCAGCAGUGGGGAAUAUUGCACAAUGGGCGCAAGCCUGAUGCAGCCAUGCCGCGUGUAUGAAGAAGGCCUUCGGGUUGUAAAGUACUUUCAGCGGGGAGGAAGGUGUUGUGGUUAAUAACCACAGCAAUUGACGUUACCCGCAGAAGAAGCACCGGCUAACUCCGUGCCAGCAGCCGCGGUAAUACGGAGGGUGCAAGCGUUAAUCGGAAUUACUGGGCGUAAAGCGCACGCAGGCGGUCUGUCAAGUCGGAUGUGAAAUCCCCGGGCUCAACCUGGGAACUGCAUUCGAAACUGGCAGGCUUGAGUCUUGUAGAGGGGGGUAGAAUUCCAGGUGUAGCGGUGAAAUGCGUAGAGAUCUGGAGGAAUACCGGUGGCGAAGGCGGCCCCCUGGACAAAGACUGACGCUCAGGUGCGAAAGCGUGGGGAGCAAACAGGAUUAGAUACCCUGGUAGUCCACGCCGUAAACGAUGUCUACUUGGAGGUUGUGCCCUUGAGGCGUGGCUUCCGGAGCUAACGCGUUAAGUAGACCGCCUGGGGAGUACGGCCGCAAGGUUAAAACUCAAAUGAAUUGACGGGGGCCCGCACAAGCGGUGGAGCAUGUGGUUUAAUUCGAUGCAACGCGAAGAACCUUACCUGGUCUUGACAUCCACAGAAGAAUCCAGAGAUGGAUUUGUGCCUUCGGGAACUGUGAGACAGGUGCUGCAUGGCUGUCGUCAGCUCGUGUUGUGAAAUGUUGGGUUAAGUCCCGCAACGAGCGCAACCCUUAUCCUUUGUUGCCAGCGGUUAGGCCGGGAACUCAAAGGAGACUGCCAGUGAUAAACUGGAGGAAGGUGGGGAUGACGUCAAGUCAUCAUGGCCCUUACGACCAGGGCUACACACGUGCUACAAUGGCGCAUACAAAGAGAAGCGACCUCGCGAGAGCAAGCGGACCUCAUAAAGUGCGUCGUAGUCCGGAUUGGAGUCUGCAACUCGACUCCAUGAAGUCGGAAUCGCUAGUAAUCGUGGAUCAGAAUGCCACGGUGAAUACGUUCCCGGGCCUUGUACACACCGCCCGUCACACCAUGGGAGUGGGUUGCAAAAGAAGUAGGUAGCUUAACCUUCGGGAGGGCGCUUACCACUUUGUGAUUCAUGACUGGGGUGAAGUCGUAACAAGGUAACCGUAGGGGAACCUGCGGUUG
This 1522-nucleotide ribosomal RNA is filed under the name Salmonella enterica subsp. enterica serovar Senftenberg. Its description in RNAcentral is "bacterial SSU rRNA". It matches the Rfam family "Bacterial small subunit ribosomal RNA". The record is from RNAcentral. RNAcentral also lists the same sequence under 1 other name. Lineage: Bacteria; Pseudomonadati; Pseudomonadota; Gammaproteobacteria; Enterobacterales; Enterobacteriaceae.